Molecule: ribosomal RNA, 499 nt
Filed under: uncultured bacterium
Lineage: Bacteria
Description: partial 16S ribosomal RNA
Rfam family: Bacterial small subunit ribosomal RNA
Source: RNAcentral
ACUCAAAGGAAUUGACGGGGGCCCGCACAAGCGGUGGAGCAUGUGGUUUAAUUCGACGCAACGCGAAGAACCUUACCUGGGCUCGAACGGCUUAAGACAAACUGUGGAAACACGGUCUCCCCGCAAGGGGCUUGAGUCGAGGUGCUGCAUGGCUGUCGUCAGCUCGUGUCGUGAGAUGUUGGGUUAAGUCCCGCAACGAGCGCAACCCUCGUCCUGUGUUGCUAAUCCGCAAGGAUGCACUCUCAGGAGACCGCCAGCGAUAAGUUGGAGGAAGGUGGGGAUGACGUCAAGUCAUCAUGGCCUUUAUGUCCAGGGCUACACACGUGCUACAAUGGGCGGUACAAAGCGCUGCAAACCCGCGAGGGGGAGCUAAUCGCAAAAAACCGUCCUCAGUUCGGAUCGCAGGCUGCAACUCGCCUGCGUGAAGCUGGAAUCGCUAGUAAUGGCAUAUCAGAACGAUGCCGUGAAUACGUUCCCGGGCCUUGUACACACCGCCCGU